CUCAGAUUGAACGCUAGCGGGAUGCCUUACACAUGCAAGUCGAACGGCAGCACGGACUUCGGUCUGGUGGCGAGUGGCGAACGGGUGAGUAAUGUAUCGGAACGUGCCUAGUAGCGGGGGAUAACUACGCGAAAGCGUAGCUAAUACCGCAUACGCCCUACGGGGGAAAGCAGGGGAUCGUAAGACCUUGCACUAUUAGAGCGGCCGAUAUCGGAUUAGCUAGUUGGUGGGGUAAUGGCUCACCAAGGCGACGAUCCGUAGCUGGUUUGAGAGGACGACCAGCCACACUGGGACUGAGACACGGCCCAGACUCCUACGGGAGGCAGCAGUGGGGAAUUUUGGACAAUGGGGGAAACCCUGAUCCAGCCAUCCCGCGUGUGCGAUGAAGGCCUUCGGGUUGUAAAGCACUUUUGGCAGGAAAGAAACGCCGCGGGUUAAUACCCUGCGGAACUGACGGUACCUGCAGAAUAAGCACCGGCUAACUACGUGCCAGCAGCCGCGGUAAUACGUAGGGUGCAAGCGUUAAUCGGAAUUACUGGGCGUAAAGCGUGCGCAGGCGGUUCGGAAAGAAAGAUGUGAAAUCCCAGAGCUUAACUUUGGAACUGCAUUUUUAACUACCGAGCUAGAGUGUGUCAGAGGGAGGUGGAAUUCCGCGUGUAGCAGUGAAAUGCGUAGAUAUGCGGAGGAACACCGAUGGCGAAGGCAGCCUCCUGGGAUAAC
RNAcentral lists this ribosomal RNA (720 nucleotides) under Achromobacter sp. 110609_136_C_H3. RNAcentral describes it as "bacterial SSU rRNA". It matches the Rfam family "Bacterial small subunit ribosomal RNA", at positions 23 to 738 of the family's 1533-position model. The record is from RNAcentral. Lineage: Bacteria; Pseudomonadati; Pseudomonadota; Betaproteobacteria; Burkholderiales; Alcaligenaceae.